RNAcentral lists this ribosomal RNA (286 nucleotides) under uncultured Thermovirga sp. RNAcentral's name for it is "partial 16S ribosomal RNA". It matches the Rfam family "Bacterial small subunit ribosomal RNA", at positions 1098 to 1382 of the family's 1533-position model. Lineage: Bacteria; Thermotogati; Synergistota; Synergistia; Synergistales; Thermovirgaceae. The record is from RNAcentral.
AACCCCUCGCAUUCAGUUGCCAUCGGUAAGGCCGGGCACUCUGGAUGGACUGCCGGCGACAAGCCGGAGGAAGGUGGGGACGGCGUCAAGUCAUCAUGGCCCUUAUGUCCAGGGCGACACACGUGCUACAAUGGCCGGCACAACGGGAAGCGAAGGGGCGACCCUGAGCGGAUCCCCAUAAAAGCCGGUCCCAGUUCGGAUUGCAGUCUGCAACUCGACUGCAUGAAGUUGGAAUCGCUAAUAAUCGUGGAUCAGCCAAGCCGCGGUGAAUACGUUCCCGGGCCUU